Molecule: ribosomal RNA, 466 nt
Filed under: uncultured bacterium
Lineage: Bacteria
Description: bacterial SSU rRNA
Rfam family: Bacterial small subunit ribosomal RNA
Source: RNAcentral
AUACGGGAGGCAGCAGUGGGGAAUAUUGGACAAUGGGCGCAAGCCUGAUCCAGCCAUGCCGCGUGGGUGAAGAAGGCCUUCGGGUUGUAAAGCCCUUUUGUCCGGAAAGAAAAGCUUCGGGCUAAUACCCCGGGGUCCUGACGGUACCGGAAGAAUAAGCACCGGCUAACUUCGUGCCAGCAGCCGCGGUAAUACGAAGGGUGCAAGCGUUACUCGGAAUUACUGGGCGUAAAGCGUGCGUAGGUGGUUUGUUAAGUCUGAUGUGAAAGCCCUGGGCUCAACCUGGGAAUUGCAUUGGAUACUGGCAGGCUAGAGUGCGGUAGAGGAUGGCGGAAUUCCCGGUGUAGCAGUGAAAUGCGUAGAGAUCGGGAGGAACAUCUGUGGCGAAGGCGGCCAUCUGGACCAGCACUGACACUGAGGCACGAAAGCGUGGGGAGCAAACAGGAUUAGAUACCCCGGUAGUCCU